ACCCGCUGAACUUAAGCAUAUCAAUAAGCGGAGGAAAAGAAACCAACAGGGAUUGCCUUAGUAACGGCGAGUGAAGCGGCAAAAGCUCAAAUUUGAAAUCGGCCACCAGGUCGAGUCGUAAUUUGUAGAUUGUAUCUUGAGAGCGGAUUAAAGUCUGUUGGAACACAGCGCCUUAGAGGGUGACAGCCCCGUAAAAUCUAUUCUCAUUGUAAGAUACUUUCGAAGAGUCGAGUUGUUUGGGAAUGCAGCUCUAAGUGGGAGGUAAAUUCCUUCUAAAGCUAAAUAUUGACGAGAGACCGAUAGCGAACAAGUACUGUGAAGGAAAGAUGAAAAGCACUUUGAAAAGAGAGUGAAAAAGUACGUGAAAUUGUUAAAAGGGAAGGGUAUUGAAUCAGACUUGGUGCUGUUGUUCAACUGUGUUUUGGCACAGUGUACUCAGCAGUACUAGGCCAAGGUGGGGUGUUUGGGAGUGAAAAAGAAGUUGGAACGUAACUCUUCGGAGUGUUAUAGCCUACUUUCAUAGCUCCUCAGGCGCCUCAGGACUGCGCUUCGGCAAGGACCUUGGCAUAAUGAUUCUAUACCGCCCGUCUUGAAACACGGACCAAGGAG
RNAcentral lists this ribosomal RNA (609 nucleotides) under uncultured fungus. RNAcentral describes it as "eukaryotic LSU rRNA". It matches the Rfam family "Eukaryotic large subunit ribosomal RNA", at positions 23 to 673 of the family's 3401-position model. The record is from RNAcentral. Lineage: Eukaryota; Fungi.